GGUCAGCAAUGUCAGUGGCGGACGGGUGAGUAACACGUAGGAAUCUAUCCUUGAAUGGGGGACAACCGUGGGAAACUACGGCUAAUACCGCAUGAUGCCUGAGGGCCAAAGACGUAAGUCGUUUGAGGAGGAGCCUGCGUCUGAUUAGCUUGUUGGUGGGGUAAAGGCCUACCAAGGCGACGAUCAGUAGCUGGUCUGAGAGGAUGAUCAGCCACAUUGGGACUGAGACACGGCCCAAACUCCUACGGGAGGCAGCAGUGGGGAAUAUUGGACAAUGGGCGCAAGCCUGAUCCAGCAAUGCCGCGUGGGUGAAGAAGGUCUUCGGAUUGUAAAGCCCUUUUGGCAGGGACGAUGAUGACGGUACCUGCAGAAUAAGCCCCGGCUAACUUCGUGCCAGCAGCCGCGGUAAUACGAAGGGGGCUAGCGUUGCUCGGAAUGACUGGCCGUAAAGGGCGCGUAGGCGCC
This 465-nucleotide ribosomal RNA is filed under the name uncultured bacterium. RNAcentral's name for it is "bacterial SSU rRNA". It matches the Rfam family "Bacterial small subunit ribosomal RNA", at positions 81 to 579 of the family's 1533-position model. The record is from RNAcentral.